ACGGGAGGCAGCAGUGGGGAAUAUUGCGCAAUGGGCGCAAGCCUGAUGCAGCGAUGCCGCGUGAGGGAAGAAGGUUUUCGGAUUGUAAACCUCUGUCAACAGGGACGAAAAUGACGGUACCUGUGAAGGAAGCUCCGGCUAACUACGUGCCAGCAGCCGCGGUAAUACGUAGGGAGCAAGCGUUAUCCGGAAUUACUGGGCGUAAAGGGAGCGCAGGCGGAGAUGCAAGCGGACUGUACAAUACCGGGGCCCAACCCCGGACCUGCAGUCCGGACUGCACCUCUUGGAUAGUUCAGGGGCAAGCGGAAUUCCUGGUGUAGCGGUGGAAUGCGUAGAGAUCAGGAAGAACACCGAUGGCGAAGGCAGCUUGCUGGGGACUAAUCGACGCUCAUGCUCGAAAGUGCGGGUAGCAAACAGGAUUAGAUACCCUGGUA
Molecule: ribosomal RNA, 434 nt
Filed under: uncultured Fibrobacter sp.
Lineage: Bacteria; Pseudomonadati; Fibrobacterota; Fibrobacteria; Fibrobacterales; Fibrobacteraceae
Description: partial 16S ribosomal RNA
Rfam family: Bacterial small subunit ribosomal RNA
Source: RNAcentral